This is a long non-coding RNA of Mastomys coucha (southern multimammate mouse), 798 nucleotides long. RefSeq lists it as uncharacterized. The record is from RefSeq and is a predicted model, not a curated record. The transcript is spliced from 3 exons. NCBI's taxonomy places the organism in Eukaryota, Metazoa, Chordata, Mammalia, Rodentia, Muridae.
GCAGGGAAAGGUGACAGCAGGAAUUGUGUACAGGAAGAUCCAGGUGCAGGGUACAUGGGGCUUCCCCUUCUCUAUGAAGUACUCCAUGCAGCAUUGUCACAGCCACAGGACAAGAGCUCUUCCAGAAGGUGUGUGACAUGGCACACAUUAAAGAAGCUCACAUUUUUGGCCUCAGUGUACUCAGAGACAGGCAGCUCCAUCUGGUGGUUAUAGGUGAGCCUCAGAGUUCAUCUUUAAACAGGAACUGUGCUUCUUUCCAGGUGUGCUAAGUCAUUAAGCAGAGCUGUACUGAGGUAUCAGCAGAGCAUUGGUGUCCUUAGAAUGUCCUUUGGUAAGUGCCAAUCUGGUGCUGUUGCCCAGCAAAGGUGAAUGAGUGUACGGAAGGUUCUGGAGCCAUAGGUAUGUGACUACAGAAGGCUCUAGAGAAUGAGGGCUUCUGGGAAUAAGUGAAGAAGAUUCUGGAGAGUGAGGAUGUGUGCUUAUGUGGAAAUUUCCAGAGACAUAGCAGGGAAACCAGACGUAGGCUUGUGGACAUAGUUCCCUAAACCGGUGGCCAGUCAGGUGGCUAUACUAAAAGUAACAGAAGAGAUUUUCAGGAGGGAUGCACUGCUUUGGUCUAGUGAAUGACUUUGGAUAGGUAGACAGGCUGACUGGGAAACAAGUUUGUGGCAUGCGUUUGGCCCUGUGCCUGAGACUUCCAAGUUCCCUUAUUCAGGAACUCUCUCAAAUGAUGCCACUUGUUCCUGGGAUCUCAGCUGCUAGAAGACUACACCUGCAGGGACAGCCCUUGUGUUGCUU